AUGUUUGUAGCUCAAUAUGGAUAGAGUAUUAAAUUGCGGAUUUAAUGGUUGAAAGUUCAAAUCUUUCCAAGCAUA
This 75-nucleotide transfer RNA is filed under the name Hemiselmis andersenii. RNAcentral describes it as "tRNA-Arg". It matches the Rfam family "tRNA". Rfam says of the family: Transfer RNA (tRNA) molecules are approximately 80 nucleotides in length. Lineage: Eukaryota; Cryptophyceae; Cryptomonadales; Hemiselmidaceae. The record is from RNAcentral.